UGGGAGGUCGUCUAAUGGUAAGACAGCAGACUCUGACUCUGCUUAUCGGGGUUCGAGCCCCUGCCUCCCAGCCA
This 74-nucleotide transfer RNA is filed under the name Bryobacteraceae bacterium. Its description in RNAcentral is "tRNA-Gln". It matches the Rfam family "tRNA". From Rfam's summary of the family: Transfer RNA (tRNA) molecules are approximately 80 nucleotides in length. Their secondary structure includes four short double-helical elements and three loops (D, anti-codon, and T loops). Lineage: Bacteria; Pseudomonadati; Acidobacteriota; Terriglobia; Bryobacterales; Bryobacteraceae. The record is from RNAcentral.